This 253-nucleotide ribosomal RNA is filed under the name uncultured prokaryote. RNAcentral's name for it is "partial 16S ribosomal RNA". It matches the Rfam family "Bacterial small subunit ribosomal RNA", at positions 525 to 777 of the family's 1533-position model. The record is from RNAcentral.
ACGGGGGGGGCAAGCGUUGUUCGGAAUUACUGGGCGUAAAGGGCGCGUAGGCGGUUUGCUAAGUUGAAUGUGAAAACUCUGGGCUUAACCCAGAGCCUGCAUUCAAUACUGGCAGGCUAGAGUUCUGGAGGGGAUAGCGGAAUUCCUGGUGUAGCGGUGAAAUGCGUAGAUAUCGGGAGGAACAUCAGUGGCGAAGGCGGCUAUCUGGACUAACACUGACACUGAGACUCGAAAGCGUGGGGAGCAAACAGGA